This 1447-nucleotide ribosomal RNA is filed under the name metagenome. Its description in RNAcentral is "bacterial SSU rRNA". It matches the Rfam family "Bacterial small subunit ribosomal RNA". The record is from RNAcentral.
AGAGUUUGAUCGUGGCUCAGGAUGAACGCUAGCGGCGCGCUUAAUGCAUGCAAGUCGAGCGAUGAGGCUCCUUCGGGAGUACAUCAGCGGCAGACGGGUGAGUAACACGUAGGUGACCUACCCUCAAGACGGGGAUAACGAGUGGAAACAUUUGCUAAUACCCGAUGACCUUACUAGGUCGAAGUAGUAAGGAAAGCUCCGGUGCUUGAGGAGGGGCCUGCGGCCCAUCAGCUAGUUGGUGAGGUAACGGCUCACCAAGGCAAAGACGGGUAGGGGGUGUGAGAGCAUGACCCCCCACAAUGGGACUGCGACACGGCCCAUACUCCUACGGGAGGCAGCAGCAGGGAAUCUUGCACAAUGGACGGAAGUCUGAUGCAGCGACGCCGCGUGAGUGAAGACGGCCUUCGGGUUGUAAAACUCUUUUGAGGGGGAAGAGCGAGGACUGUACCCUUCGAAUAAGCGUCGGCUAACUACGUGCCAGCAGCCGCGGUAAGACGUAGGACGCAAGCGUUAUCCGGAUUUACUGGGCGUAAAGCGUCUGUAGGCGGGUGUGUAAGUUGGAUGUGAAAGCUCCAUGCUCAACGUGGAGAGGCCAUACAAUACUGCACGCCUAGAGGGGGUCAGAGGAGUGUGGAAUUUCCGGUGUAGCGGUAAAAUGCGCAGAUAUCGGAAGGAACACCAGUGGCGAAGGCGGCACUCUGGGGCCCACCUGACGCUGAGAGACGAAAGCUAGGGGAGCGAACAGGAUUAGAGACCCUGGUAGUCCUAGCCCUAAACGCUGAAUGCUAGGUGUGGGGGCGUAGAGCCUCUGUGCCGGAGCUAACGCGAUAAGCAUUCCGCCUGGGGAGUACGGCCGCAAGGUUAAAACUCAAACGAAUUGACGGGACCCCGCACAAGCAGCGGAGCGUGUGGUUUAAUUCGAUCUACACGAAGAACCUUACCUGGGUUUGACAUAUAGGUGGUAGGAAGCCGAAAGGCGACUGACCCUUCGGGGAGCUUAUACAGGUGCUGCAUGGCUGUCGUCAGCUCGUGCCGUGAGGUGUCGGGUUAAGUCCCGUAACGAGCGCAACCCUUGCCCUUAGUUAUACGUGUCUAAGGGGACUGCCGGCGGGAAGCCGGAGGAAGGUGGGGAUGACGUCAAGUCAGCAUGGCCCUUAUAUCCAGGGUUACACACACGCUACAAUGGGCGGUACAGAGGGCAGCGAAGUCGCGAGGCGGAGCGAAUCCUAGAAAGCCGUUCGUAGUUCGAAUAGCAGGCUGCAACUCGCCUGCUUGAAGCUGGAGUUGCUAGUAACCGCGCGUCAGCUAUAGUGCGGUGAAUACGUUCCCGGGGUUUGUACACACCGCCCGUCACGUCAUGGGAGUUGGUAACGCCUGAAGCCGGUAGCUUAACGUUAACGCGGGAGCGCUGUCGAGGGCGGGACUGGCAACCGGGACGAAGUCGUAG